Molecule: long non-coding RNA, 727 nt
Organism: Cotesia glomerata
Lineage: Eukaryota; Metazoa; Arthropoda; Insecta; Hymenoptera; Braconidae
Exons: 2
Source: RefSeq, a predicted model, not a curated record
UUGUGUGCAUAAAUAAUUGACGCUUGUGUAAAAGUAGAUAUUAAUUUUAAAAAAAAUUAACUUCUUAAAGUUUCUUGUAAAUAUUCUAUUAAUUUAAAUGAUAAAUUUGCAAAAUAUUAAAAAUUAUCUAAAAAAAUUUAGACCGGAAAAAAAUUUUGGCACAACACAAUUUGAGUUAAAGGAAGUAAUAACAAUUUGUACAUAAAAAUGAAGAUGUAUUUAUAUAUAAAUUAUUAUUUCUGUUUUUAUUUGACAUUAAAUAAAAAAUGUAAUUAGUUAAUAUAUAAAUAUAUUUACGAUGUAAUUAUUCGUAUGAGUGUUGUAAAAAAUAGCGACUAAAAAUAUCGAUAAUUGUAAAUUUAAAUCGUUUGCCAUUUAGUUAUUACGUGAAAAAAAUCGCUCGUGUAGAGGAUAACUAUAGAAAUAAUUGGUAAUUGAUAUAAAUGAUAAUAAAAAUAAAUCUAACGGUGGGGAUGUGGAGAUUAAAUAUAGAAUGUAUAAUAUUAGCGUAAAGUUAAAUUGUAUGAAAUGAGUGAAGAUAUGUAAAUGCGAUUGAUAAUAUGGAGAUCGUGCUGAUUAAAAUUUGUGAUGAAAGUUAAAAUAGAGUUGUGAAGAGAAGAAAUGUUUGUCGGCAAGAUAAGAUGUGUUCGCAAAUUUAACCAACAGACUACGAAUCUUUAUAUUAUUAUCUAGUCAUCAAGUGAUAAUAAAAGAAAAUUUAUCAUAA